RNAcentral lists this ribosomal RNA (205 nucleotides) under uncultured Syntrophaceae bacterium. RNAcentral describes it as "partial 16S ribosomal RNA". It matches the Rfam family "Bacterial small subunit ribosomal RNA", at positions 570 to 774 of the family's 1533-position model. Lineage: Bacteria; Pseudomonadati; Thermodesulfobacteriota; Syntrophia; Syntrophales; Syntrophaceae. The record is from RNAcentral.
UGUAGGCGGCUUGACAAGUCAGAUGUGAAAUCCCUGGGCUUAACCCAGGAAGUGCAUUUGAAACUGUCUUGCUUGAGUAAGGGAGAGGAAAGUGGAAUUCCUGGUGUAGAGGUGAAAUUCGUAGAUAUCAGGAGGAACACCGGUGGCGAAGGCGACUUUCUGGCCCUAUACUGACGCUGAGACGCGAAAGCGUGGGUAGCAAACA